RNAcentral lists this signal recognition particle RNA (265 nucleotides) under Clostridiaceae bacterium. RNAcentral's name for it is "signal recognition particle sRNA large type". It matches the Rfam family "Bacterial large signal recognition particle RNA". From Rfam's summary of the family: The signal recognition particle (SRP) is a universally conserved ribonucleoprotein involved in the co-translational targeting of proteins to membranes. Archaeal SRP consists of a 7S RNA and homologues of the eukaryotic SRP19 and SRP54 proteins. Lineage: Bacteria; Bacillati; Bacillota; Clostridia; Eubacteriales; Clostridiaceae. The record is from RNAcentral.
UCGUGCUAGACGGGGAGGUAGCGGUGCCCUGUACCUGCAACCCGCUAUAGCAGGGUUGAAUUCCUGCCCGAGGCAUAUUACUGUGGAAAAGGGAUUUGAUUUGGGGGCAAUGAAGAUUGGGUCUUGCGCAAUUCAAGGCUGUAAACCCCGUCAGGUUCGGAAGAAAGCAGCGGUAAGCAGUUAUCUGGAUGUGCCGCAAGGGCGCCUAAUCAGAGCUUUCUGUCAUUGUACCGUCCGUAGUCGUAUGUCGACGGCAGGUGCACGA